Molecule: long non-coding RNA, 932 nt
Organism: Sorex araneus (European shrew)
Lineage: Eukaryota; Metazoa; Chordata; Mammalia; Eulipotyphla; Soricidae
Exons: 2
Source: RefSeq, a predicted model, not a curated record
UAUUUUAUUCAAGGUUUAUAUGGGUCUUGAUUUUCAGUGAUGGUUCUGAUUCUACUGAGUAUACAUGACUGAGAGACUUAGGCGAGGGUUUUGACACUAUCAGUUUUUUAUUUCAACACUCCUAUUCAUCCCUGAGUCAGAAAGGGCUACCUAGGAGGUUCCUCUGAAGUUCAUUUGCCUAAUUAGUAUGAACAAACCAACGGGAACCUGUAAACCCAUUUUUAUUUUAUUAUACCAUAUAUUCCUUAUGGAGGUCAUUAUUUUUAAAGUGUAACAUUUUAUUUAGAAGUUUUGAGGUGAGGAGAGUAAUGCACUCAAGAGAAAGCAGAGUGAAGAGAGAGCCCCAGCACAUAUCCCAGCAUUAAAAGUAUGAUGGGAAGAAAGCACACAUCCCAAGCCGGGAUAUGUGGGAGUUUGUCCUUGGGCAACACAGGUGCCCAGCAGGACACAUCUCAUAGGCAGCACAGGAGCCAUGAAGAUUAUGGUUUAGUUCUAGUUCUAGUUCAGCUCUCCAGGUACCUAGUAGGAUUAUGCUGAUUCCAUACUGAAGAGGUCCUAAAACACAUCUCCGCUUGCUAUCUCUCAGAAAUUAGUGCGGGCCUGCAUAUUCUCCUAGUUCUAAAAGACUGGUGUUUACCUAAAUCAGCACUGUGUUUUUCGAAGUAUAAAUAACACCUGGUAAUUAAGAAGGUAACAAGAUUUAAGAAAAACUGCAUGGAAACCAAAAUGAUCUCACCAUUCUGCUUUACAAUGUAGUUUCCAGAAAUUAACGAUGAUAAGAAUCAGGAAAUAACUAUGGUAAAUGUUUAUUAACUCUUAAAAUGCUUGAAAUUGGGUUUAAUAGUUUAUUAUGACUUAUAACUGUCAAUUUAAAAACAUCCAUCAAACCAUGUAGAAAUAAGUAUGCAAAAAAGUCUGCGAAACAAAACAUA